UACGUAGGGUGCAAGCGUUGUCCGGAAUUAUUGGGCGUAAAGAGCUCGUAGGCGGUUUGUCGCGUCUGCUGUGAAAACUCGGGGCUGAACUCCGGGCCUGCAGUGGGUACGGGCAGACUAGAGUGCGGUAGGGGAGACUGGAAUUCCUGGUGUAGCGGUGAAAUGCGCAGAUAUCAGGAGGAACACCGGUGGCGAAGGCGGGUCUCUGGGCCGUAACUGACGCUGAGGAGCGAAAGCGUGGGGAGCGAACAGG
This 253-nucleotide ribosomal RNA is filed under the name uncultured bacterium. Its description in RNAcentral is "partial 16S ribosomal RNA". It matches the Rfam family "Bacterial small subunit ribosomal RNA", at positions 524 to 776 of the family's 1533-position model. The record is from RNAcentral.